AUGACUGAACACACCUGUGUUCAUCACACAGUGAUUGUGUUAAGUUCCAGUGAGAAUCGACAGAGGAAGCUGUGGGGGCAGGGGUGGGGAGGUGGAUGCUGGGGCAGCGGGGCUGCAGGCUGUUUUACGGAGUCUAGGGUUUCAGGUGGAAGAUGUGUUCGUGGGUUGACAGGUCGGACAGUGGAAGGAACAGGGCGUGACGGGAGGUGGCCCUUGUGUGUGGAGCAUGGGAGGCGGGGAGCCAAGCGGGGACCCGUGUGGACGAGAUGCAUGACCCCAGCACACAGAGGGUCUGGGCUGAGGGUCCUCCGGGGCCCAUCUUUCCAGCACGAAGCCCCAGGGAGGAGGGGUGGGCUCCCUCAGUUGUGCUGCAUGCCCAGAGCUCUCCAACUGCCACGGUCCCCUUGGGGUCCCCUCCUGGGAUGGCAGGAAGGCCCGUCCCUGGCGGUCUGGCUGCCCUUGCCUGUCAUGAAAACAAACCUGGGCCUUUGCGGGGCUUCAGAGACAAAGCUGUCCCAUGUCAGUCCACCGUCCCCUUCCGGAAGCCUGGUCUCAGUUGGACCCAUGGCCACUCACCUGGGGCCUCCCUGCCUCCCAGCCGGUCUCUCUGCCUCUGGCAGCCCCUCCACCCUCUGCCAGACCUCCCUGGGGCUUCUAGCUCCUUCCAGCUCCGUCCGAGGUCCUGGGGCCUGGGCCCGUCUCUGGGGCCUCGCCCCAUCUCCCCAGCGUCACCCCCUCUAUACCCAAGUUCCCGCCCUCAGGACUGCAGGACACGCCGGAGGACUAGACCCCUUGAGUUUUGUGUCUGGGUCCCUCCCCGCCCUCCCAGGCGACCUAAGACCCUCUGCCUGCAUUCUCCACCCCACCCAGGCAGGCGGCUCUGGGUGGUCCGGGGCUCAUCGCACACGGUGCUUCCCUGCUCCGGACUGUGAGCCCUGGAGGACAGCCGUCUGGCUGGUGGGGUGCGCCCUGGCCUGCACACAGUGGGGCCGCGUGGAGCUGCAGAGGCCCUUCGGGACCCGGGUGUGGUGGGCAGGCCCUCGUGUUGUGAGGAAUCCGGGCUGGGGGCUCCCCUGGAGCUGGCCAGCUCCUGAUCCUGCUGAGGAGGCCCAGUAA
RNAcentral lists this long non-coding RNA (1116 nucleotides) under Bos grunniens (domestic yak). RNAcentral describes it as "lncRNA (ENSBGRG00000024429.1)". Lineage: Eukaryota; Metazoa; Chordata; Mammalia; Artiodactyla; Bovidae. The record is from RNAcentral.